CACAAAGAAUUGCGAUGAUGUUGGGGGACAUCCAUUUGGUUCGGAUUACGACAUCUUUCCAGACUUCACUAUGAUGUUGGAAUUACCAGCGGCCUAUUCCACAAUAAUGGAUAACGCGGCGGCUGACAGUAUUCUGCGGGACAUACUGAAUACACCGACACCAAAAAUCUUUGAUGCUGCCGCAAGUUGUUACGACACAGCUAUACAGACUGGCAAAGCGGCUGAUGAGCGAUCCGUUUGGAAACACGCAAAAGGAAAAAAGAACGCUCAAACACUCGAAUAUAAAGAAGAUGACGCUAGAGUGCGAUGAUAUGAUCCAACGAUACCAAGGGUCAAUGAUGCAGAUGCACAAAUCCACAGGCCUAGCACAAGUAAGAAAACAACAAUUUGCACAACUGUCGCUGAAACGGAGAACCAACAAUUUGCAACGCCGUUGAUCGGAUAUAACCACCUAAAGGAAAAUGCUAGGCCAUUGGUUAUGGGGAUGCAUCACGGCAGUAUCAACCUGAACAAACGCAGACCGACUCGACCAAGAUCGACAAAGGUUAUAAUUCAGCAUUUACCGAUCUUAAAUGAUAAUUGGCGUAUUCCGAAGAUGAUACACCUCUACAGAGAAGUAUCGCAUUACAAACUGUAUUAAGCGUAAGUAAUGAGGGCAAUGUAACAGCAAAACACACGUCAUUUGACACUGUAGACCGGGACAUUGCUGGUAAUACAAAGACUGUAAAAGAUAAGAGAGCAUCACACCUCUCAAGAAGGAAAGUUAAGUAGUUGUCGCAAUUCGAUGUAAUCAUAAUUCCAGACACACAGGGUUGCUCUGAAACAGAAACACGACACAUAGCUGGUAUUGAUAAGUUAUCAAAUAUUAAAGGACAUAAAUGUGCAAGAGUUUUUUACCCCCUGUGUAGAGACAAUGACACAAGAACAGCAGAAUAGUUCUGAUUAAAUAUUAACAGCAGUUGCAUAAAUUCCUGGUAAUACUACAGAGGUUGAUUGUGUAACAUCAGCGCCCAAUAUUUUUACCACGGGCGCCGGGGCACACACAUCCCCCAUUGUGUGUGCCCCAGCUCACGGGGUAUCACCUGACCACACAUUGCCCGAUGUGGUUGCCCCGGCACCGGACAUAGUUGAUGGAAGUCAAAAUACAGAACAAGUAGGUCAAGAUGCUGAAAUACAAUUUUACACGUUGAUGGGUUAGAUACGGGAAGAUGUUGAGAACAUGGGUGUAAAUUCUGGAUAUUUGUUAAAACACAUUAAAGGUGUGAGCCACAGUGCUAAAUGUAAACAUGAUAUUAUUAAAGAAGUUGUUGAGACGUAUGUGAAUGUCAUGUCAAAAUACAUAGAUCGGUCAUUUAAGACAACUGAAUUUAUUAAAGCCAACAUACAUCAUUUUGCAGAAAUAAUUGAAACCAGUCCGUGACUAGGCAUGUUA
Long non-coding RNA from Pseudophryne corroboree (corroboree frog), 1432 nucleotides. RefSeq lists it as uncharacterized. The transcript is spliced from 3 exons. Lineage: Eukaryota; Metazoa; Chordata; Amphibia; Anura; Myobatrachidae. The record is from RefSeq and is a predicted model, not a curated record.